CUCAGAUUGAACGCUGGCGGCAUGCCUUACACAUGCAAGUCGAACGGCAGCACGGGUGCUUGCACCUGGUGGCGAGUGGCGAACGGGUGAGUAAUACAUCGGAACGUACCUUAUCGUGGGGGAUAACGCAGCGAAAGCUGUGCUAAUACCGCAUACGCCCUGAGGGGGAAAGCGGGGGAUCGAAAGACCUCGCGCGAUUAGAGCGGCCGAUGCCUGAUUAGCUUGUUGGUGGGGUAAAAGCCCACCAAGGCGACGAUCAGUAGCUGGUCUGAGAGGACGAUCAGCCACACUGGGACUGAGACACGGCCCAGACUCCUACGGGAGGCAGCAGUGGGGAAUUUUGGACAAUGGGGGAAACCCUGAUCCAGCAAUGCCGCGUGAGUGAAGAAGGCCUUCGGGUUGUAAAGCUCUUUUGUCAGGGAAGAAACACCGGCUCUAACACAGUCCGGGAAUGACGGUACCUGAAGAAUAAGCACCGGCUAACUACGUG
RNAcentral lists this ribosomal RNA (490 nucleotides) under uncultured bacterium. RNAcentral describes it as "bacterial SSU rRNA". It matches the Rfam family "Bacterial small subunit ribosomal RNA", at positions 23 to 507 of the family's 1533-position model. The record is from RNAcentral.